This 557-nucleotide ribosomal RNA is filed under the name Pseudomonas fluorescens. Its description in RNAcentral is "bacterial SSU rRNA". It matches the Rfam family "Bacterial small subunit ribosomal RNA", at positions 367 to 915 of the family's 1533-position model. The record is from RNAcentral. Lineage: Bacteria; Pseudomonadati; Pseudomonadota; Gammaproteobacteria; Pseudomonadales; Pseudomonadaceae.
GGUAAAAAGCACGAAGUCUGACGGAGCACGCCGCGUGAACGAAGAAGGCCUUCGGGUCGUAAAGUUCUGUUGUUAGGGAAGAACAAGUACCAGAGUAACUGCUGGUACCUUGACGGUACCUAACCAGAAAGCCACGGCUAACUACGUGCCAGCAGCCGCGGUAAUACGUAGGUGGCAAGCGUUGUCCGGAAUUAUUGGGCGUAAAGCGCGCGCAGGUGGUUCYUUAAGUCUGAUGUGAAAGCCCACGGCUCAACCGUGGAGGGUCAUUGGAAACUGGGGAACUUGAGUGCAGAAGAGGAAAGUGGAAUUCCAAGUGUAGCGGUGAAAUGCGUAGAGAUUUGGAGGAACACCAGUGGCGAAGGCGACUUUCUGGUCUGUAACUGACACUGAGGCGCGAAAGCGUGGGGAGCAAACAGGAUUAGAUACCCUGGUAGUCCACGCCGUAAACGAUGAGUGCUAAGUGUUAGAGGGUUUCCGCCCUUUAGUGCUGCAGCUAACGCAUUAAGCACUCCGCCUGGGGAGUACGGCCGCAAGGCUGAAACUCAAAGGAAUUGACG